RNAcentral lists this ribosomal RNA (496 nucleotides) under uncultured bacterium. Its description in RNAcentral is "partial 16S ribosomal RNA". It matches the Rfam family "Bacterial small subunit ribosomal RNA", at positions 28 to 506 of the family's 1533-position model. The record is from RNAcentral.
GACGAACGCUGGCGGCGUGCCUAAUACAUGCAAGUUGAGCGCUGAAGGUUGGUACUUGUACCAACUGGAUGAGCAGCGAACGGGUGAGUAACGCGUGGGGAAUCUGCCUUUGAGCGGGGGGCAACAUUUGGAAACGAAUGCUAAUACCGCAUAAAAACUUUAAACACAAGUUUUAAGUUUGAAAGAUGCAAUUGCAUCACUCAAAGAUGAUCCCGCGUUGUAUUAGCUAGUUGGUGAGGUAAAGGCUCACCAAGGCGAUGAUACAUAGCCGACCUGAGAGGGUGAUCGGCCACAUUGGGACUGAGACACGGCCCAAACUCCUACGGGAGGCAGCAGUAGGGAAUCUUCGGCAAUGGACGAAAGUCUGACCGAGCAACGCCGCGUGAGUGAAGAAGGUUUUCGGAUCGUAAAACUCUGUUAGUAGAGAAGAACGUUGGUGAGAGUGGAAAGCUCAUCAAGUGACGGUAACUACCCAGAAAGGGACGGCUAACUACGU